ACACUAGGAAUACCUGUACCUUGUAUAUAAAAAGAAUUUUUCAUCUAAGUGAAAAGACUUAGAUAGCAAAGGAAGACGAAAAGACCCCGCGGAACUUUACCUUUUCUUAUACUCACGUCUACAAACUUAAAAGUCUAUAAGGUUUGAUUGGGGCAAUCUUGGAACCACUAAAGCUUCCAAUUCCUUUUAAAAAAUAUCAAAAAUUUAUUAAGGACCAAAAAGAAGUUACCCCGGGGAUAACAGCGUAAUCCAACUUAAGGAGUACAUAUCGAAAGUUGGGUUUGGGAACUCCAUNNUUGGNAAA
This 304-nucleotide ribosomal RNA is filed under the name Acuticosta ovata. RNAcentral describes it as "partial 16S ribosomal RNA". The stretch from base 44 to 304 matches the Rfam family "Bacterial large subunit ribosomal RNA", at positions 2048 to 2540 of the family's 2925-position model. The record is from RNAcentral. Lineage: Eukaryota; Metazoa; Mollusca; Bivalvia; Unionida; Unionidae.